Molecule: ribosomal RNA, 719 nt
Filed under: uncultured Alphaproteobacteria bacterium
Lineage: Bacteria; Pseudomonadati; Pseudomonadota; Alphaproteobacteria
Description: bacterial SSU rRNA
Rfam family: Bacterial small subunit ribosomal RNA
Source: RNAcentral
UGCAGUCGAACGAGGUCUUCGGACCUAGUGGCGCACGGGUGAGUAACAUGUGGGAAUCUGCCUGAAGGUUCGGAAUAACUGCGGGAAACUGUAGCUAAUACCGGAUGUGUCUGCAAAGAGAAAGAUUUAUCGCCUUCAGAUGAGCCCGCACUAGAUUAGCUAGUUGGUGAGGUAACUGCUCCACCAAGGCUACGAUCUAUAGCUGAUUUGAGAGGAUGAUCAGCCACACUGGGACUGAGACACGGCCCAGACUCCUACGGGAGGCAGCAGUAGGGAAUAUUGGACAAUGGGGGAAACCCUGAUCCAGCAAUGCCGCGUGAGUGAAGAAGGCCUUCGGGUUGUAAAACUCUUUCAUCAAUGAAGAUAAUGACAUUAGUUGAAGAAGAAGCUCCGGCUAACUUCGUGCCAGCAGCCGCGGUAAUACGAAGGGGGCUAGCGUUGUUCGGAAUUACUGGGCGUAAAGAGCGCGUAGGCGGUUUGUUAAGUCUCAUGUGUAAUCUCCCGGCUCAACUGGGAGGGGUCAUGGGAUACUGGCAGACUCGAGGAUAGCAGAGGAAAGCGGAAUUCCCGGAGUAGUGGUGAAAUGCGUAGAUACCGGGAGGAACACCAGAGGCGAAGGCGGCUUUCUGGGCUAUUUCUGACGCUGAGGCGCGAAAGCGUGGGGAGCGAACCGGAUUAGAUACCCGGGUAGUCCACGCCCUAAACGAUGGAUACUAGAU